Aegilops tauschii subsp. strangulata is the source of this 1521-nucleotide long non-coding RNA. RefSeq lists it as uncharacterized. Lineage: Eukaryota; Viridiplantae; Streptophyta; Magnoliopsida; Poales; Poaceae. The record is from RefSeq and is a predicted model, not a curated record.
AUGAGAGAUGAUACUUCCCUACAACUUGUGUAUUUUAGGAAGCAUAAAAGGAAACACAAGGAAUAAAUGUUGUGAAUAACGUGCACAAGCCCAGUGAGCACAAUCCACCCGGAAGCAUGAUACUAACAGAUUAUCCAAAGUGAUCAAGAAAGCUGCAGAUCUGGCUGGCUCAGCAGGCAGAAGGGAAUGCCAAGGGAUGUUUGGGAUUUGAUUAGCAAAACAAGCCACGGCGAGAAUGGAGCCAAGCCAAUAGUGAUUUCAGUUUGGAGGGUAUGUUCCUGCACUACAGAAGUGUGCAAUGAGAAUUUGCUUACAAUGUGUCUCAUCUAGUGGAUGCGAGAGGAAUUGGAGCGCCUUUGCUUUGGUGCACACAAAGCAAAAAAAAAAAACCCGUCUUUUAUAUGACAAGAUAGUGUGUGUCCUCUACAACCUAAAGUUAUAAACCAACACAUUUUACUUUCUACCUUGUAUUGUCCUCGCAUGCAUAAAAAUUAGGAGAAAUGAAAUAUUUCACUUGCUAUUGAAACCUUGAAGAUAGUUGUUGAAGAAGAUCAAGAGAAAUAGAUAGAUAAGGAAACUGAUCCAAGUGCAUUGCUAAUGAAUACAAGAAUGUUUGAAGAAACAAAUCCAAUAAUGCAAUGGUUGAAUGAGGAUGAAAAUGAUCCAAUCAUGGAUGGACCGAUGCUGCUUGUGCUGUGUUUGAGAAAAUAAGGCGCCUCAACUCAAGCAGGAAAGCUUCUUAUGUUGUUACAAAGGGUAAUAACAAGAAAAGAAAGAUGAAUGAUGAUGAAUAGAAUGAGUAUGUAGACACUGAGAGUGAGGAUGAUGACGAAGGGAAUGAAUAUGUUGAUAAUGAGAGUGAGGAUAAUGAUGAGGUGAGUGAGGAUGAUGAAGAUGAUCCAUCAAUGCAUGAUCAGCAAGAGACACAAAUGCCAAUAAAAAAGGAGACAAAAAUUCAAGUGGAAAAGUAGACACCAGCAAGCGACGGCAGUUUGGAGACCCGUAGAUCUGGAUGGCUAGCCAAGAAGACCAAGGACGUCAACAGCCUCUACCAAGUUGUUUCCCUAAUUUUUUUUAGCAAAAUCUGCUGUUGGAGCUUGGAGCUUGAUGCUAGUUGGGGCCUGGAAGCUUGGAGCUUUUUCAAUGGAGCAAGACCUCUCUCUGUCCAUGCUUUAAUGGUUUUCUUUUGUAGCUGUUGUUUCAAUGUCUUGCUUUGAUGGUUUUCUUUUGGAGCUGUUGUUUCAAUGUCAUGCUUUGAUGGUUCCUUUUUUUCCCAAUCCACCCAUGUGUUUUCCUUAAUGUACCACACAACUAUCUGUCUUGUUAUUGUGUCUUGCGAAUAUCCUUUCAUGUACCACGCAACUAUUUUUCUUGUUGUAGUGUCUUGGCAAUAUACUGGAUAUUAUCAUGCGUUUUUCUUGUUAUUGUGUCUUGGGAAUCCUAUGAAUAGAAGAGACGCCAAAAGAAUUACGGGACUAAAUUUGUCACUGAAUCUAUUAUCAUGCUACUUUGUUUCUGUGU